This is a non-coding RNA of Erinaceus europaeus (western European hedgehog), 138 nucleotides long. The record is from Rfam. NCBI's taxonomy places the organism in Eukaryota, Metazoa, Chordata, Mammalia, Eulipotyphla, Erinaceidae.
CUGCAGACAAUUAAGCUGACCUUGCCACCCUCCCAAUGGCAUCUGUCCAGUGUGCAGUGGCUGCAAACAGCAGCCUACUGGGUAGUGUAUGCAGCCUGUUGCUUGUAUAGGCCGCACUAAGGGACCCUGGAGACAGCC